Non-coding RNA from Camellia sinensis, 496 nucleotides. The record is from RefSeq and is a predicted model, not a curated record. Lineage: Eukaryota; Viridiplantae; Streptophyta; Magnoliopsida; Ericales; Theaceae.
CCGGCGGGAGUCAAUCGUAGCUCCUCUCCCCUACCUCUCUCACCGCUGAUCCACCACCGCCUCUGACAUUCCACCACCGCUUCCGCCUUUCGACGACCAAAGUCGAGCUCAAAUCUGGUUGCGGCAGUCGGAGAUCGCGGACGUCGUCCUCAUCCUCAUCCUCAUCCUCAUCCUCUUCGACCUCUGAUUCGAUCUCUCUCUGUGUUCAAGUUUGUUCGUCUGCUCUAUCAAUGUUUGCUUCUCAAAUCCUCCUGCAGUACCUUCCUAUUCCAAAAUCCCUAAAACAUCCUUCAAAUGCAAGCCAAAACUCCUUCCUAACAACCUUCAAACCCUCCUCAAUGACCACCUUAAAGCUAAGGGCAAUCCUUUACGAAAACUCUUUGUUUAAGCAUCGUUUCACCAAAUCCGAAGAUGGGUCUUUGUUUAAGCACUGUUUCAUCAAAUCCGAAGAUGGGUAUUUGUGCUGUGAGGGUCUUAGGGUUGAGGAUGUGAUGAA